Molecule: long non-coding RNA, 352 nt
Filed under: Physcomitrium patens
Lineage: Eukaryota; Viridiplantae; Streptophyta; Bryopsida; Funariales; Funariaceae
Description: long non-coding RNA (PPAT_LNC014369)
Source: RNAcentral
GGACAUAGCCUUCGACCAAUAGGAAUGAAGAAUUCCAUCCCUUGCCCUCAUCCAACCAUGCUUUACUUUCAUCCCUCCCAAUAAGCCUCCUCCUGGUUUAGAUUUUCAUCUUUAGAUUCUAAUCUCCUCUCAAGGCUUCAUACUAAAUAUUUAGGUUCUAUAAUUUUUUAAAUAAUAUAAUUAAAAUAAUUAAAAUUAAAAAUAAAGUUUCUUAUAUUGACUCUCUUUAAAUUAAUCUAUUAACUAUUUUAACACACACCAAGUCUUAUAAACAUAUUAUAUGAUCUAACUAAUUUUUACAUACUAUAAGUAAUUAUAGUAUGACAUCCAUCCUCUCCAAACCUACAUACCU